GGGGAUAUGGCGGAAUUGGUAGACGCUACGGACUUAGGAAAAUCCGUCGGCUUUAUAGACCGUGAGAGUUCAAAUCUCUCUAUCCCCA
This 88-nucleotide transfer RNA is filed under the name Bowenia serrulata. RNAcentral describes it as "tRNA-Leu". It matches the Rfam family "tRNA". From Rfam's summary of the family: Transfer RNA (tRNA) molecules are approximately 80 nucleotides in length. The record is from RNAcentral. RNAcentral also lists the same sequence under 5 other names. Lineage: Eukaryota; Viridiplantae; Streptophyta; Cycadopsida; Cycadales; Cycadaceae.